GGGGUUGUGGCUCAGCGGUAGAGCACUCGUCUAGUAUGUGUGAGGCCCUGGGUUCAAUCCUCAGCACCACA
RNAcentral lists this transfer RNA (71 nucleotides) under Marmota monax (woodchuck). RNAcentral's name for it is "tRNA.Thr". It matches the Rfam family "tRNA". Rfam says of the family: Transfer RNA (tRNA) molecules are approximately 80 nucleotides in length. Their secondary structure includes four short double-helical elements and three loops (D, anti-codon, and T loops). Lineage: Eukaryota; Metazoa; Chordata; Mammalia; Rodentia; Sciuridae. The record is from RNAcentral.